This 472-nucleotide ribosomal RNA is filed under the name uncultured bacterium. RNAcentral describes it as "SSU rRNA". It matches the Rfam family "Bacterial small subunit ribosomal RNA", at positions 26 to 518 of the family's 1533-position model. The record is from RNAcentral.
AGAAUGAACGUUGGCGGCGUGGAUUAGGCAUGCAAGUCGUACGGGCCGCAAGGCCAGUGGCGCAAGGGUGAGUAAUGCGACGGUAACCAACCCCAUGACUGGGUAUAGCCGCGGGAAACUGCGGGUAAUCCCCAGCGAUGUCACCGAGGGGCAUCCCCUGGUGACCAAAGCUCCGGCGUCGUGGGACGGGCCGUCGUGGUAUUAGGUAGUUGGCGGGGUAACGGCCCACCAAGCCUUCGAUGCCUACCGGGCGUGCGAGCGUGGCCCGGCACACUGGGACUGAGACACUGCCCAGACUCCUACGGGAGGCUGCAGUCGAGAAUCUUCGGCAAUGGGCGCAAGCCUGACCGAGCGACGCCGCGUGGAGGAUGAAGGCCUUCGGGUUGUAAACUCCUGUCGAGGGGGAAGAAGGACCGUAAGGUCUUGACUUAUCCCUGGAGGAAGCACGGGCUAAGUUCGCGCCAGCAGCCGC